UUCAGGUUAACUAUAAGCUGUAUCCAGAUCAAGAGAGUCCAAGCUCUAAUGACACAACUGCUGGUUUUAUUCCAGUUUAGAGAUUGUUUUCUUCUUAGGCUGAGAUAUCUAGAGGGAAUGAAGUCUUCACAGUACUCGCGAAAUACGUCAAAAUUCUUUUGUGUCACAUGACUUACCUAUUUAAUGUACUUGAUAUAUAUAUAACAUGUAGUUCUUUUCAUCAUACAAUUUAUAUGUGGAUACAACACUGAAG
RNAcentral lists this unclassified non-coding RNA (253 nucleotides) under Hevea brasiliensis (rubber tree). Lineage: Eukaryota; Viridiplantae; Streptophyta; Magnoliopsida; Malpighiales; Euphorbiaceae. The record is from RNAcentral.